CGCACCUCGCUCCGAUAGAUGGGGCCGAGUGAGACUACCUAGGUGACGAUCCAUAGGCGCACCGAGACGACGAUCUCUCGCUGUGCUGAGGAGACGCUCACCCACCCCGUAACUGAGACACCGCCCAGACUCCUUGGGCAGGGGGCGCUGGCCUGUUCCGCCCAUGGCGCGAGACCCUGAAGCGCCCUUGCCGCGUGAGUGACGUUCGCCUUCGAAUUGUAUGACACUUUCCGUGGAGAAGAACGCUAUCGUGUUCAUGCCGCGAGCCACUGACGUUCGCCACAGAAUAACCUCCUGCUAACUCCCUGCCCGCAAACGCCACAAUACGGAAGCUGCCAGCGUUGUUCGAAAUUACUGGGCUUAACCCUUACACUGGCUUUUCUUCUGGCAAGAUGGAAUUCCCCCGAGCUCAACCUGAUACCGACUUUUUGAACUGAAGACCUCGAUUUUUGAAGAAGCUCCUAGGCUUUCCUGUGUUCCCUGGCAUCGCGUCAGAUCUUGGAAGG
This 506-nucleotide ribosomal RNA is filed under the name uncultured Alphaproteobacteria bacterium. Its description in RNAcentral is "bacterial SSU rRNA". It matches the Rfam family "Bacterial small subunit ribosomal RNA", at positions 207 to 704 of the family's 1533-position model. Lineage: Bacteria; Pseudomonadati; Pseudomonadota; Alphaproteobacteria. The record is from RNAcentral.